This is a long non-coding RNA of Dromaius novaehollandiae (emu), 3203 nucleotides long. RefSeq lists it as uncharacterized. NCBI's taxonomy places the organism in Eukaryota, Metazoa, Chordata, Aves, Casuariiformes, Dromaiidae. The transcript is spliced from 2 exons. The record is from RefSeq and is a predicted model, not a curated record.
AUCUCCCCCACCCCCCCAGCGCCCCGCCGAGCCCCAUCUUGGGGCGCCUCCGCCUGCGGCCUCCCCGGCGCCGCUGCGGAGCGGGGCCGCCCCGGCGCGGGGUGGGACCCCCCUGCUCUUCCCCUCCCGCCGGCCGGGGCGCGGGGCAGAGCAGGGCGGGCGACGCCGGCCUGACGGGACCCCACCCCCACCCCCAGCGUCUCACCCCGGAGAGGGUUUUAGUCAGGGCCGGGUGACACGAAACGCGCCGUUCCCGCCACCCCGGGCUGGCGGAGAAGCGCGUUAAAGCCGGGGCUCGGGGGCGGCCCCGCGGCCUGCCCCCCGCCUCCAGCCCCGGGCUCAUCCCGCCUCGGCGGCUGGCGGGGGCCGCUCGGCCCCGGUCCCGAAGUUCUCCCUGCAAACCCCGGGUGGCAGCUUAGUUACAGCUCGGAGGUGGGUCGAAGUUCUCGUCCCAGCAGAUAAUGGUUGCUUUGAAUUAGUUUGGCACACCGCGAGCAGGAAACGUAAAUGCUGGGGGCAGCGUUUCUCACGUUUCUGUAAGGUUUUCGAGAUCUGCUGCUGAUGGGUGUUUCAGAUAUCUGCCUUCAAGACCAAAAUCUGCCUUUGUUUUUCUGAGCUGGGGAAGAGCAUGCCAUGGACACUGCUGCAAUCUAAAUAGUAAAAAUGCCUAAAUAGUACAUUUAUUUACUGGGGUCUCAUUUUUAAAUCUGUUUUCCCCUGUCUUUGAAAGACUACUUUUUAUAUCACUGCAGUUACUUUGGAUAAAGCAGGGAAUAGCUGUUUCACAAUAUGGCUGCUGUGAAAGCACAAUACUCCGAAUUGCAGGGAGACUGAAGAAGAAGCCCUGAGCUCUGGAAUUUAAAGUCUUAAAAAUAAGGAUUAAUUAGGUAAAAGGAAAGCCUACUUUAUUUUAUCCUUCGUCGAAAAGAUCUUUCAAAUUGCAUUGGACAACCAGCUGAUCAGAUAAGGAACAAGAUUGUCACAGCAACAGCAGUGUUUUAAAAGAGGAAAUGAAGAAUAAUGUAUCCAAUUGGAACUAGAGGGGGGAAUGUAAUUACCUGAAGCAGAAUAUGUUCAGGAUAUGGGCUAACAGUUCUCCUAUUGAAAGAAAAAAAAGUCGUCUUACAUGUUUUAACAGUUUCAAGGCUUCAGAAGUUUUGUUUCCCUCUUUUCCCAGCAGAGCACUUUCAACAGCACAUGAUGCAGAAAGGUUACUACCUUCUGAAUCACCAGCUCCACUUCCUGUGUUACUUGGAUAGUUCUUCAAAGUCUUCUAUAAAAGGACUGGGUGCAAUGUCAAUUAAAUGGUGAUGGCUGAUAAAAUCACAAUUUAGGUAGUAUGACAGUAAAGAGUUCUACACCAAUGCUCUGUUUCCCCCCUUUAUAAUUCUGCGUUCUUGCUGAGAAAGUCCUUCUUCACACUGUUCCUAGAUCCUUUAGCAUAGUGCACUGAGCAGAAAACCUGAAUAGCCCGAGCGAAGGCAGCGCUUGGAUCAAACUGGUAGUCCUACUCAAGUAAACACUAGUUUUGCUUGAAUAAACACUAAGAACUGCAAAUCGGCAAGGUUGAGCCUGCCAGGACAGUGUGAUGGAGAGAGGGUUCUUUUGACCCUGUUUUGCCAGACUACUAAAGUACAGUUUUACCUUGGGAAAACAGUGUUUAUGAUUACAACUGAAUGUCAGUACCAAUAUUUUAACUAUCAUGUCUUGCUUUGUUCUUUGAUUUUUUUUCAUUAUUAUUCUUUUUUAGAAUACUCAUUUAUAUCUAGAUUCAGAUUGUGUCUGAAGACAGAGGAAAAGUUACUGUUGAUUUUAAUGAGCUUUAUACCAGGACUUAAAUGCAGCUCUGGAGGCAUAUGCAACAUUUAGCAAUACUUGCAUUUUAAAAUAUAUUCACUUCUGGUUUACAUCAAUAUUAAGACAGAAGCAACUAUAUUUAAUGAUGACAGGUCUAAAAAUACUCAGUAUUUUUUUGCCCUGCUUUCCCCAACAGCAGAAUUAUAUCUCCAUUAACAUAGCGAUUGAAACAUUGAAAUAUAAAUAUGAUUUUUCUUUGCUUUCUUUAUUUCUGUCCACUUCAGAAUCAAGCCUUAAUUAACACAAGGGGCAAAAAACAUUCAAAGGAGCCUCUUGAAAUCAUUAGCGUUACAUUAGCAAUUCAUUAGUUUUGGUGACUUGGUUUGGUCAGCAGAACAAAAUGUACAGCACAGAAAGAAGAAUUUAUUUCAUAACUUCAUUAGGUCAUUUUCUCCUUAGCUUUUCUUGUAGACGUGGCCUUGUACUGCCAUAUCUUUCCUCUGGCUAUGGAAGCUGCUGCUCAAACUACAAUCCAGGAGAGAGGUCUGAGUGAGGAUUGUUAAAGCAAUCUACACCAAGGAAUACACAUAUUCCUUUUAAUGCUAGCUGAAAAACAGGAUAAUUUUUUCAUGAAUCUUUUAGUAAAAAGAAUGUGUUGCGUGUUUGUUAGUUGAUGAAAAUUUCAACAUUUUACUUCUUUCUUAAAAAGUUCAGUAAAGGGCUAACCCCACAAAUGACUGUUUCAUUAAGGUGUUUGCCAAGAAUCUAACUGGGUAUUUUAGUUGGACAGCAAUGUUUUAGUGAAAUGUUUUAUCCCCAAAAUAACCAAAGUAAAAGUGGGGAAAUGUUGACAAGCUUUACGUUUUUUGUUCUAUAUAUACAUAUAUUUGCAAACCUUCUCCAAAUGACAUUGCUACAUUUGCCACAGGCUAUGGCUUGCAGUCUGAUCUGGAGAAAUUUUGACGUAUUUGCAUGUCUUACGGGCUUUAUUAUAAACGAUGGAAUCAGACAUUUUGAUGUCCCUCUGCCACCACUCAUUCCCCCUUUCCGUGGUCUUUGUAGCUUUGUUUAUUUUUGCUGUCAUUACAUUCUGUUCUGCUUUUGCUACAGACUUACGGCCCUUCUUUCAGGAUGGUUUAGCAGCUAGCAGGCCUACCACAUAUUUGUCCCUUUCUGACGUUGCUUGCAGAAAGACUCUGGGGCCUGAUCCCUCGUUGCUUGACCUGCACGAGGUUCUGAAUAGAUUAUUCAUAUAACAGAUUUAAUGUUUUUUUUUUUCAUUUUGUUACUGAUACGCUGUGUGGUUCUCAUGAACUUUGAAUUUAAGAUUUGUUAAUAUCUUAGAUGUCUGUUUUGUUAAAUUCCUUGAAGUUAUAUCAAUAAAAAAUACUAAUUUGAAAUGUAAA